Long non-coding RNA from Esox lucius (northern pike), 411 nucleotides. NCBI's taxonomy places the organism in Eukaryota, Metazoa, Chordata, Actinopteri, Esociformes, Esocidae. The record is from Ensembl.
ACAGGUUGUAACAUUAUUAAUGGAAUAGAGUGUGUUCAGCAGGCCUACAGGUUGUAACAUUAUUAAUGGAAUAGAGUGUGUUCAGCAGGCCUACAGGUUGUAACAUUAUUAAUGGAAUAGAGUGUGUUCAGCAGGCCUACAGGUGUGCCUGGGCCUACAGGUUGUAACAUUAUUAAUGGAAUAGAGUGUGUUCAGCAGGCCUACAGGUGUGUCUGGGUAAAAGAGUAGGCUAACUGGAAAAAGACUGUUCAAUUGUGUUGGUAACAAAUGUCAGGAUUGCUGUUGAUCUCUUUACACGUAUGGGUACAAAUCCCCUGUCUAUGCGGAUUGCGAGAUGAGUGGAAGUCACAAGACAUUUGUGUUACACAAUCUGGUCCUGAUAUAACCUGAUAUCUAUCUGUUUUGGAUAAA